GCGUCCUUAGCUCAGCCGGUAGAGCAAAUGACUCUUAAUCAUUAGGUCGGGGGUUCGAUCCCCCCAGGACGCA
RNAcentral lists this transfer RNA (73 nucleotides) under Ignavibacteria bacterium. RNAcentral's name for it is "tRNA-Lys". It matches the Rfam family "tRNA". Rfam says of the family: Transfer RNA (tRNA) molecules are approximately 80 nucleotides in length. Their secondary structure includes four short double-helical elements and three loops (D, anti-codon, and T loops). Lineage: Bacteria; Pseudomonadati; Ignavibacteriota; Ignavibacteria. The record is from RNAcentral.